RNAcentral lists this ribosomal RNA (818 nucleotides) under intestinal bacterium CPA-27B. RNAcentral describes it as "bacterial SSU rRNA". It matches the Rfam family "Bacterial small subunit ribosomal RNA", at positions 26 to 835 of the family's 1533-position model. The record is from RNAcentral.
AGAUUGAACGCUGGCGGCAGGCCUAACACAUGCAAGUCGAGCGGUAGCACAGAGAGCUUGCUCUCGGGUGACGAGCGGCGGACGGGUGAGUAAUGUCUGGGAAACUGCCUGAUGGAGGGGGAUAACUACUGGAAACGGUAGCUAAUACCGCAUAAUGUCGCAAGACCAAAGUGGGGGACCUUCGGGCCUCAUGCCAUCAGAUGUGCCCAGAUGGGAUUAGCUAGUAGGUGGGGUAACGGCUCACCUAGGCGACGAUCCCUAGCUGGUCUGAGAGGAUGACCAGCCACACUGGAACUGAGACACGGUCCAGACUCCUACGGGAGGCAGCAGUGGGGAAUAUUGCACAAUGGGCGCAAGCCUGAUGCAGCCAUGCCGCGUGUGUGAAGAAGGCCUUCGGGUUGUAAAGCACUUUCAGCGGGGAGGAAGGCGNUAAGGUUAAUAACCUUGNCGAUUGACGUUACCCGCAGAAGAAGCACCGGCUAACUCCGUGCCAGCAGCCGCGGUAAUACGGAGGGUGCAAGCGUUAAUCGGAAUUACUGGGCGUAAAGCGCACGCAGGCGGUCUGUCAAGUCGGAUGUGAAAUCCCCGGGCUCAACCUGGGAACUGCAUUCGAAACUGGCAGGCUAGAGUCUUGUAGAGGGGGGUAGAAUUCCAGGUGUAGCGGUGAAAUGCGUAAAGAUCUGGAGGAAUACCGGUGGCGAAGGCGGCCCCCUGGACAAAGACUGACGCUCAGGUGCGAAAGCGUGGGGAGCAAACAGGAUUAGAUACCCUGGUAGUCCACGCCGUAAACGAUGUCGAUUUGGAGGUUGUGCCCUUGA